RNAcentral lists this ribosomal RNA (250 nucleotides) under uncultured bacterium. Its description in RNAcentral is "partial 16S ribosomal RNA". It matches the Rfam family "Bacterial small subunit ribosomal RNA", at positions 524 to 773 of the family's 1533-position model. The record is from RNAcentral.
UACGUAGGGAGCGAGCGUUGUCCGGAAUUACUGGGCGUAAAGGGCGCGUAGGCGGGAUCUUAAGUCAGGUGUGAAAACUCUGGGCUCAACUCGGAGACUGCAUUUGAAACUGGGAUUCUUGAGGGCAGGAGAGGAAAGUGGAAUUCCUAGUGUAGCGGUGAAAUGCGUAGAUAUUAGGAGGAACACCAGUGGCGAAGGCGACUUUCUGGACUGAACCUGACGCUGAGGCGCGAAAGCGUGGGGAGCAAAC